Molecule: long non-coding RNA, 877 nt
Filed under: Salmo salar (Atlantic salmon)
Lineage: Eukaryota; Metazoa; Chordata; Actinopteri; Salmoniformes; Salmonidae
Description: lncRNA (ENSSSAG00000101237.1)
Source: RNAcentral
GGCCCUACAAUUUAGUAUGUUUACAGGUUCAUUUGAAUUCUAUUAAUCUUUAUUGUCCAUAAAAGGUUCAUUCAUCACAGGCACAUUCAUGUUGCGGAUGUGAGGUACAAUAAAAUACACAGCAAGCAGACAGAGUGGGAACUCCAUGGUGACCUGACAGAGGGUCACCAGUACUGCAACACAAGGAAGGACACACAUAUAUACCAGGCCCUAAUCCCCUGGACUCAAAAGAGGAAGUGGAAGUGAAAGAGAGGCAGCCCUUACAGAAUUACCCACCAAACCAGGACCAAGCAGCGGAGGAGGAAGGAGCAACAGGAGAACAGCUUGAUGGACUCGUGGACAUGGGAACAGAUACUGGACGGAGAGGGACCAUGGACUCAGGCUGGGGAGUAUCGCCUCCCGCAGUGGGAGAUUGAAGCGGCGAGAGCGGAGAGGCGAUAUUACGAGGAGAGAGAGCGCAACGAGCACGAGAGGCAGCCCCAAUAAUUUUUUUGGUGGGGCACACGGAACAGUUGGCGGAGCCGAGGUCGGAACCAGAGCCAGUCGGGUUGACAUUGGAGGUGAGCGAGGGGUACGAGGCAGAGACUGUGAAGGAGUUAAUGGGGAGAUUAAAGGAGAGAGAGAUGAGAGAGCUGCUAGUUUGGUGCAUAAGGCACGGCAUUCGCCCUACGGAGCGUGUCGUUGAAAUGAUGUCACCUGAGGCAGCUCUCCAUACUCGUCCUGAGGUGCGUGCUGGUUGUCUGGUGAAGACUGUGCCUGCGCCCAGAAACAGGCCUCCUGCAUGUCUUCCCAGCCCUGCACGUCCUGUGCCUACGCCCAGAACCAGGCCUCCUGCAUGUCUUCCUAUCCUGGUCAAGCCCGUGCCUCCUCCACGGAC